CCUACGGGUGGCAGCAGUGAGGAAUAUUGGUCAAUGGCCGAGAGGCUGAACCAGCCAAGUCGCGUGAGGGAAGACGGCCCUACGGGUUGUAAACCUCUUUUGUCGGGGAGCAAAGCGAGUCACGUGUGCCUCUUUGAGAGUACCCUACGAACAAGCAUCGGCUAACUCCGUGCCAGCAGCCGCGGUAAUCCGGAGGAUGCGAGCGUUAUCCGGAUUUAUUGGGUUUAAAGGGUGCGCAGGCGGAGGUGCAAGUCAGCGGUAAAAUUGCGGGGCUCAACCCCGUACUGCCGUUGAAACUGCAUCCCUUGAGUGCGCGAGAAGUAUGCGGAAUGCGUGGUGUAGCGGUGAAAUGCAUAGAUAUCACGCAGAACUCCGAUUGCGAAGGCAGCAUACCGGCGCGCAACUGACGCUCAUGCACGAAAGCGUGGGUAUCGAACAGGAUUAGAUACCCUAGUAGUC
This 459-nucleotide ribosomal RNA is filed under the name uncultured bacterium. Its description in RNAcentral is "partial 16S ribosomal RNA". It matches the Rfam family "Bacterial small subunit ribosomal RNA", at positions 338 to 795 of the family's 1533-position model. The record is from RNAcentral.